UCAAACUUGGUCAUUUAGAGGAAGUAAAAGUCGUAACAAGGUCUCCGUUGGUGAACCAGCGGAGGGAUCAUUAUCGAGUUUUCAUACUCCCAAACCUUUGUGAACCUUACCAUCGUUGCUUCGGCGGGUUCGCCCCGGGGCUCGCGGCCUAGCUGCCCGCCCCGGACCCAGGCGCCCGCCGAGGGACCCAAACUCUUGUUUUCCAGUGGUAUCUUCUGAGUUAACUUGAUAAAUAAAUCAAAACUUUCAGCAACGGAUCUCUUGGUUCUGGCAUCGAUGAAGAACGCAGC
RNAcentral lists this unclassified non-coding RNA (290 nucleotides) under uncultured fungus. RNAcentral describes it as "partial contains small subunit ribosomal RNA, internal transcribed spacer 1, and 5.8S ribosomal RNA". The stretch from base 1 to 73 matches the Rfam family "Eukaryotic small subunit ribosomal RNA", at positions 1759 to 1831 of the family's 1831-position model. Lineage: Eukaryota; Fungi. The record is from RNAcentral.